AUGGUUUCUCUGCCUUUUGGCUGAGAUCAAUUGUACUCUCUGUUCUUUUCAGUGUAAUAUCCGAUAUGUCCUCGAGAUGAGGGCUACAUAUUGAAUUGAUUUUUGGAACAUGGAGAUAGAAGAUGAGCUUGAUCCUUCUGCUCCACUCAUCAGUUUGGUAUAGCAGUACCAGUGAAUGAUUUAUCUACA
Small nuclear RNA from Astyanax mexicanus (Mexican tetra), 189 nucleotides. Its record names the gene U2. It matches the Rfam family "U2 spliceosomal RNA". Rfam says of the family: U2 is a small nuclear RNA (snRNA) component of the spliceosome (involved in pre-mRNA splicing). Complementary binding between U2 snRNA (in an area lying towards the 5' end but 3' to hairpin I) and the branchpoint sequence (BPS) of the intron results the bulging out of an unpaired adenosine, on the BPS, which initiates a nucleophilic attack at the intronic 5' splice site, thus starting the first of two transesterification reactions that mediate splicing. The record is from Ensembl. NCBI's taxonomy places the organism in Eukaryota, Metazoa, Chordata, Actinopteri, Characiformes, Acestrorhamphidae.